ACCAGGAAUCGAACAUAUUAUUG
Molecule: microRNA, 23 nt
Filed under: Dinoponera quadriceps
Lineage: Eukaryota; Metazoa; Arthropoda; Insecta; Hymenoptera; Formicidae
Description: dqu-miR-190-3p
Gene: dqu-miR-190-3p
Source: miRBase by way of RNAcentral